RNAcentral lists this ribosomal RNA (250 nucleotides) under uncultured bacterium. RNAcentral describes it as "partial 16S ribosomal RNA". It matches the Rfam family "Bacterial small subunit ribosomal RNA", at positions 524 to 773 of the family's 1533-position model. The record is from RNAcentral. RNAcentral also lists the same sequence under 1 other name.
UACGGGGGGUGCAAGCGUUGUUCGGAAUCAUUGGGCGUAAAGCGCGCGCAGGCGGCUUGGUAAGUCAGAUGUGAAAUCCCUGGGCUUAACCCAGGAAGUGCAUUUGAUACUGCCUCGCUAGAGUACGGGAGAGGAAAGUGGAAUUCCUGGUGUAGAGGUGAAAUUCGUAGAUAUCAGGAGGAACACCGGUGGCGAAGGCGACUUUCUGGCCCGAUACUGACGCUCAGGCGCGAAAGCGUGGGGAGCAAAC